Molecule: non-coding RNA, 766 nt
Organism: Antechinus flavipes (yellow-footed antechinus)
Lineage: Eukaryota; Metazoa; Chordata; Mammalia; Dasyuromorphia; Dasyuridae
Source: the annotation of a RefSeq genome assembly
AAAGGUUGAAUGCACAGUGAACAUUAAACCAGGACUGAGCCUUUUCUCUGCUCUCCUGGCACCCUCCCCACUCACCCCAUCUCUUCACCUCUCAGUCUCCUCGCUUCCUUGGGCUCCCUUCAGAUUCACAACUGGCCCAGCCAGAAUGAGCCUCCGCCAAGUGCUUGCUGUGGCUGCCCUCUGGGCCAUUGGCCAAGCAGACACAGAACUGAAGCAACCUCAAGUUUCCAUCACCAGCCAGGUAGGAAAAGCAGCACGGAUCACUUGUCAAGUGUCACCCGGCAUGUUGGACUUUGCUAGUCGAUACAUACACUGGUACCAACAGAAGCCAAACCAGCCUUUGCAACACCUGCUCCUUAUCCGAUCAACCAGUAAACUCGAGGGAAAAUCCUUAGGUAAGGUACAGAACAAAUUUGUGGCAGAAAAGAAUGAAGACAAAAGUACAUCAGACCUAACAAUAAACGCCAUAACCCCUGAAGAUGAGGGCACCUACUACUGUGCAUGCUGGUACGACCACAGCCAUCAACUUUCAGUGACAAGAUGUACAAGAAUCCUGCCCUCCUCAGUCUCUUCCCACAUCCUCUUCCCAGGCGGCCGCCUCCGCAUUUCUGGCUCCCAUCUCCAGUCUGCCUGCAGCACUCCCUGCAUUUCUUCUCAAGGCCAUGAGCCCUGUGUCUAUGUCAUUCCCCAGUCUUGCUCCAAUUCACCCAGGUCCCAAACUCCCUCUAUCACCACCAUAAUUAUCUACAUUUCUAUAGAUCUGUAA